ACUGCUCAGUAACACGUGGCUAAUCUGCCCUUGGGACCGGAACACCCCCGGGAAACUGGGGCUAAUUCUCGAUAGGUGAAGAACUCUGGAAUGAGUCUUUGCCGAAAAGUUGUCAGGGUUAUGCUCUCUGAUAACGCCCAAGGAUGAGGCCGCGACCGAUCAGGUUGUUGGUGAGGUAAUGGCUCACCAAGCCUUUUACCGGUGCGGGCCGUGAGAGCGGGAGCCCGGAGGUGGGCACUGAGACAAGGGCCCAGGCCCUACGGGGCGCAGCAGUCGCGAAAACUUUGCAAUACACGAAAGUGUGACAGGGCUAUCCCGAGUGCCAUCCGCUGAGGAAGGCUUUUACCCAGUCUAGAACGCUGGGGGAAUAAGGAGAGGGCAAGUCUGGUGUCAGCCGCCGCGGUAAUACCAGCUCUCCGAGUGGUGUGGAUGUUUAUUGGGCCUAAAGCAUCCGUAGCUGGCUAAGUUAGUCCCUUGUUAAAUCCACCGAAUUAAUCGUUGGAUUGCGGGGGAUACUGCUUGGCUAGGGGACGAGAGAGGCAGACGGUAUUUCCGGGGUAGGGGUGAAAUCCUAUAAUCCCGGGAAGACCACCAGUGGCGAAGGCUGUCUGCUAGAACGCGCCCGACGGUGAGGGAUGAAAGCUGGGGGAGCGAACCGGAUUAGAUACCCGGGUAGUCCCAGCUGUAAACGAUGCAGGCUAGGUGUUUGGACGGCCACGUGCCGUUCUAGUGCCGCAGGGAAGCUGUUAAGCCUGCCGCCUGGGGAGUACGAUCGCAAGAUUGAAACUUAAAGGAAUUGGCGGGGGAGCA
This 810-nucleotide ribosomal RNA is filed under the name uncultured archaeon. Its description in RNAcentral is "bacterial SSU rRNA". It matches the Rfam family "Archaeal small subunit ribosomal RNA", at positions 85 to 878 of the family's 1478-position model. The record is from RNAcentral.